UGAGGCCUCCGACGUGACACAACAUCCUGCAGCGGUGUUGUGUGACCUGCAGUGUCCGUCGCUGGCCUCG
Small RNA from Penicillium expansum, 70 nucleotides. It matches the Rfam family "bZIP non canonical Hac1/Xbp1 intron". Rfam says of the family: bZIP intron RNA is a non-canonical intron that was first reported in HAC1 gene in yeast and XBP1 gene in Metazoa. Lineage: Eukaryota; Fungi; Ascomycota; Eurotiomycetes; Eurotiales; Aspergillaceae. The record is from Rfam.